This 76-nucleotide transfer RNA is filed under the name Bacilli bacterium. RNAcentral describes it as "tRNA-Ala". It matches the Rfam family "tRNA". Rfam says of the family: Transfer RNA (tRNA) molecules are approximately 80 nucleotides in length. Lineage: Bacteria; Bacillati; Bacillota; Bacilli. The record is from RNAcentral.
GGGUCCUUAGCUCAGCUGGGAGAGCGCCUGUUUUGCACGCAGGAGGUCGCCGGUUCGAUCCCGACAGGAUCCACCA